AUGGGUGGUUCCAGCUGCUUCCUCUGCCUGGGGGCAAGGAAGGAAGUCCCACCGCCUCCCCGGGCCGAUCCCCACAGCAGCAGCAGCGUCGCCGCCACCGCGGCACGGACCUUGGCCUUCGACGAGCUCGCGGCGGCGACCAGGAACUUCAGAGACGACUUCCGCAUCGUUCGGACUUCUUUCGCAUAUCGGUCUCCGGGCCAAGCACUGCUAGACUGGAACACAAGGAUGAACAUAGCUGCCGGCGUGGCCAAGGGUUUAGAGUAUCUCCACGACAAAGGUGUGGUGUACCACAUAUUCAUGAGCAGCUCGGACGUCUUGCUCGGAGAAGGCAACCACCCAAAGUUGUCCCAAUAUGGACUGGCAGACCUUGGUCGGCUAGUUGCGGAUGAUGAUGAGAAAUUGUGUAUUGAUUUCACCAGAACCGCUGCAAUUGCCCCCGAGACAAGAUUUAAAGGGAAGGCGACCAUGGAGUCGAACGUGUACAACUUUGGCGGCGUGCUGCUGGAGUUAAUCACAGGGAGGAGGCCCGUCGACCCCACCCGGGCCAUCGCCGAGGAUUGCAACCUUGUCAUAUGGGCCACACAAUUGAUGGACAGGGGCCAGUUCCGCCGGAUGGCAGAUCCAGCACUGCAGGCCCGGUAUCCGUCCAUGGAUUUGCAAGAGGCACUGGAAGUUGCUUCCAUGUGCAUCCACGAAGAGCCGGCCAUGAAAUCCCCCAUCGGUGCCGUCGUCGCAGCUCUGUCUCGCCUUGCCGCCUACGACAAUCAUCCACCUGAAUCUUCACACCAUGCGGCGCUUCGUUAA
RNAcentral lists this ribosomal RNA (807 nucleotides) under Triticum aestivum (bread wheat). RNAcentral's name for it is "partial small subunit ribosomal RNA". Lineage: Eukaryota; Viridiplantae; Streptophyta; Magnoliopsida; Poales; Poaceae. The record is from RNAcentral.